RNAcentral lists this ribosomal RNA (124 nucleotides) under Pteropus alecto (black flying fox). Lineage: Eukaryota; Metazoa; Chordata; Mammalia; Chiroptera; Pteropodidae. The record is from RNAcentral.
GUCUACGGCCAUGCUGCCCUGAACAAGCCCGAUCUCGUCUGAUCUCGGAAGCUAAGCUAAGUUGGGUAGGCCCUGGUUAGUACUUGGAGGGGAGACCACCUAGUAAGACCAGGUGCUGUAGCCG